GUGGUGUACUCAGAGCAGGGGGCCUGAAGAACGACUCCUCUGUUUAUAACACACCCAACAGGAAUCUGAGGUCACGGUGACAAGGGGCACUAAACUUGUGGCUCCCUCUGAACAAAUUCCUUACAUGU
Molecule: small nucleolar RNA, 128 nt
Organism: Otolemur garnettii (small-eared galago)
Lineage: Eukaryota; Metazoa; Chordata; Mammalia; Primates; Galagidae
Source: Ensembl